GAUGAACGCUGGCGGCGUGCCUAAUACAUGCAAGUCGAGCGAACGGACGAGAAGCUUGCUUCUCUGAUGUUAGCGGCGGACGGGUGAGUAACACGUGGAUAACCUACCUAUAAGACUGGGAUAACUUCGGGAAACCGGAGCUAAUACCGGAUAAUAUUUUGAACCGCAUGGUUCAAAAGUGAAAGACGGUCUUGCUGUCACGUAUAGAUGGAUCCGCGCUGCAUUAGCUAGUUGGUAAGGUAACGGCUUACCAAGGCAACGAUGCAUAGCCGACCUGAGAGAGUGAUCGGCCACCCUGGAACUGGGACACGGUCCAGACUCCUACGGGAGGCAGCAGUAGGGAAUCUUCCGCAAUGGGCGAAAGCCUGACGGAGCAACGCCGCGUGAGUGAUGAAGGUCUUCGGAUCGUAAAACUCUGUUAUUAGGGAAGAACAUAUGUGUAAGUAACUGUGCACAUCUUGACGGUACCUAAUCAGAAAGCCACGGCUAACUACGUG
RNAcentral lists this ribosomal RNA (497 nucleotides) under uncultured bacterium. RNAcentral's name for it is "partial 16S ribosomal RNA". It matches the Rfam family "Bacterial small subunit ribosomal RNA", at positions 28 to 507 of the family's 1533-position model. The record is from RNAcentral.